GGNUNNUUAAUAAUCUGCUCAUGAAUUAUUUAAAUAGCCGCAGAUAUUCUGUGCUAAGGUAGCAUAAUCAUUUGUUUUUUAAUUUAAAACUAGUAUGAAAGAUUUUACAUUUUAAUUAACUUUAUUUUAUAUAAUAUUUUAAAUUUUAUUAAUUAUAAAAAUAUAAUUUUUUAAUAAAAAGACGAUAAGACCCUAUUGAAUUUUACUUAUGUUUAGCUGGGGUAGCUAAUUAAAUUAAAUUUUAUUUAAUUUUUUUUAAAAAUUAUCUAUUAUAAUUAAAAUUUUAAUAAAUUACCAUAGGGAUAACAGCGUAAUAUAAUUUUUUAGUUCUCAUUUAAAAUUUGGAUUGCGACCUCGAUGUUGAAUUAUUAUUUCUUAUUAAACGCAAUAGUUAAAAAAGUAGGUCUGUUCGACCUUUAAUAUAAUACAUGAUCUGAGUUCAAACCGGAGA
RNAcentral lists this ribosomal RNA (451 nucleotides) under Chikunia albipes. RNAcentral's name for it is "partial 16S ribosomal RNA". The record is from RNAcentral. Lineage: Eukaryota; Metazoa; Arthropoda; Arachnida; Araneae; Theridiidae.